UACGUAGGUGGCGAGCGUUGUCCGGAUUUACUGGGCGUAAAGGGAGCGUAGGCGGAUUUUUAAGUGAGAUGUGAAAUACUCGGGCUCAACUUGAGUGCUGCGUUUCAAACUGGAAGUCUAGAGUGCAGGAGAGGAGAAUGGAAUUCCUAGUGUAGCGGUGAAAUGCGUAGAGAUUAGGAAGAACACCAGUGGCGAAGGCGAUUCUCUGGACUGUAACUGACGCUGAGGCUCGAAAGCGUGGGGAGCAUACAGG
RNAcentral lists this ribosomal RNA (253 nucleotides) under uncultured bacterium. Its description in RNAcentral is "partial 16S ribosomal RNA". It matches the Rfam family "Bacterial small subunit ribosomal RNA", at positions 524 to 776 of the family's 1533-position model. The record is from RNAcentral.